This 301-nucleotide ribosomal RNA is filed under the name uncultured bacterium. RNAcentral describes it as "partial 16S ribosomal RNA". It matches the Rfam family "Bacterial small subunit ribosomal RNA", at positions 509 to 807 of the family's 1533-position model. The record is from RNAcentral.
CAGCAGCCGCGGGAAAACGAAGGGGGCUAGCGUUGUUCGGAAUCACUGGGCGUAAAGCGCACGUAGGCGGACUUUUAAGUCAGGGGUGAAAUCCCAAGGCUCAACCUUGGAACUGCCUUUGAUACUGGAAGUCUUGAGUUCGGGAGAGGUGAGUGGAACUGCGAGUGUAGAGGUGAAAUUCGUAGAUAUUCGCAAGAACACCAGUGGCGAAGGCGGCUCACUGGCCCGAUACUGACGCUGAGGUGCGAAAGCGUGGGGAGCAAACAGGAUUAGAUACCCCUGUAGUCCCUGUCUCUUAUAC